CCCUGAUGAAGGAAGGUGUUUGACAUGUUUGAGUAAAGAGAGGGCUGAUGGGAUGGAAUGGAGGAGAAAGACAGGAGCAGUAGGAGAUGAGGUCAUAGUAGCAGGGAGAGGUCAGGUAGUAGGAACUCUAGAACAGUGUUUUUCCAGUGAGUCAGAUGCAAAGCCAUUGGUGAGAUUUCAAAGAAUCACUCUGGUUCUUCAUAGAGAAUAGACAGUGGGAAGAUCCAGGAGAAACUGAGAGAUAUUUUCUGAUGAGCUCGUGAAAUUUGUGAAAAGCAGCUUCCAGUAGUAGAAGCCUUGUUAAUUGUUACAUCAAGAGAGUCUUCUGUUUGUUAAACUUGUUCUUUUUUUGUGAGUCAAAGCAAAAUGGUAGUUGCAUACUUGAAGCAGGCAGUGUAUACACGAAGCAAGUUGGAGUCUGGAGUCGUGUCAUCAUCCUCAUGGACUUUCUGAAUGCAUUCCGGAAGUGCCAUAAACUCUUGACAUUCCUACA
Prionailurus viverrinus (fishing cat) is the source of this 493-nucleotide long non-coding RNA. RefSeq lists it as uncharacterized. The record is from RefSeq and is a predicted model, not a curated record. The transcript has 3 exons. NCBI's taxonomy places the organism in Eukaryota, Metazoa, Chordata, Mammalia, Carnivora, Felidae.